RNAcentral lists this ribosomal RNA (418 nucleotides) under Uromastyx ocellata. Its description in RNAcentral is "partial 16S rRNA". It matches the Rfam family "Bacterial large subunit ribosomal RNA", at positions 1861 to 2540 of the family's 2925-position model. Lineage: Eukaryota; Metazoa; Chordata; Lepidosauria; Squamata; Agamidae. The record is from RNAcentral.
GCCCAGUGAGGAAACCCUUUAACGGCCGCGAGAACAAACCGCGCAAAGGUAGCAUAAUCACUUGUCCCCCAAAUAGGGACCCGUAUGAAAGGUUACAUGAGAAAGAGACUGUCCCCUCAGGUAGGUCGAUGAAACUGAUCUAUCAGUACAAAAGCUGAUAUAAAAAAGCAGGACAAAAAGACCCUGUGAAACUUUUAAACCUAAUCAAAACCACUAUUGACCAAGGUUUUUAGUUGGGGCAACUAAGGAGAAACAAAACCUCCUUUAAACCGCCAAGUCAAACAAGACAAAGCGCACCUACACACCAAUCAGACCCAGUAUAACUGAUCAAAGGACCAAGCUACUCCAGGGAUAACAGCGCCACACUCUUCAAGAGUCCAUAUCAACAAGAGUAUCUACGACCUCGAUGUUGGAUCAG